CACGUAGGCGGACUUUUAAGUUAGAGGUGAAAUCCCAGGGCUCAACCCUGGAACUGCCUUUAAUACUGGGAGUCUUGAGUUCGAGAGAGGUGAGUGGAAUUCCGAGUGUAGAGGUGAAAUUCGUAGAUAUUCGGAGGAACACCAGUGGCGAAGGCGGCUCACUGGCUCGAUACUGACGCUGAGGCACGAAAGCGUGGGGAGCGAACAGGAUUAGAUACCCUGGUAGUCC
RNAcentral lists this ribosomal RNA (229 nucleotides) under uncultured bacterium. RNAcentral describes it as "partial 16S ribosomal RNA". It matches the Rfam family "Bacterial small subunit ribosomal RNA", at positions 568 to 796 of the family's 1533-position model. The record is from RNAcentral.